Non-coding RNA from Camellia sinensis, 797 nucleotides. The record is from RefSeq and is a predicted model, not a curated record. NCBI's taxonomy places the organism in Eukaryota, Viridiplantae, Streptophyta, Magnoliopsida, Ericales, Theaceae.
AAAGAGAUAAACAAAGCCACCGCACAUACCACUUCUUGUGUGUCAUAUAUUGACUUUAGUCAUAGUCUGCAAUAUGGGACAUUGAUAGUAGAGAAGUACUUUGGUUCUUUUAAGCUUCAAGUUAAAAAAAAAAAACCAAAGAUUCAUGCUGGAUUUUCCAGGCAAUCAAACAGGGUGUAGUGGGAAAUCUUGUUAGGGUUGGGGUUAGUACAUUAUUUUCAGUAAGUUGGUCCCUUUGGGUGUCUGCUUGGGAUAGGCUGAGCUCAAGGCACAUGCACAUCAAUAUCAUACCUGAACACGGUGGAUCAGCUCUUGUUCAGAUGUAGAAACAAAGCUAUCAUGUUUCCAGCUUACAACACACUCUCUCUCUCUCUCAUGAAUGGUCACUCUUGUAGUUAACUGAUUCCAUUUGGUAGGAGUUCCACAGGUGGGGUUGAUGUCAUCUUUAGCUGUUAACUGCGACUUAAGAAAUGAAUGCUUGCUCGAUGGUGUUCAACCAAAACUGGGGGAGCUGCAGGAAUCAAUCAUCAUCAAACUAGCUAUUUGGCUUAAAGCUUCAUUCAAGGAUUUCCACUAUUCUAUAAAUGAUGUUAUGUUCAAUAUUUCACAGAUUAGAAAGUGUAUAGGUGAAAGGGUGUGAAGUGUCGUGUAUGUUUUUGGAGUGUCUAGAGAUCUGUGUGAGUUGGAAUCUCUCUAACUCUAUUUGGAGGGUUUGGGAAUGCAAAUGAUUAGUCUUACUUUGGGUGCCAACAUAAUUGAGAUGCUUAGUUUUAAUAAUAAAGCAACUUUUAUUCAAA